RNAcentral lists this RNase P RNA (327 nucleotides) under Variovorax sp. JS1663. RNAcentral's name for it is "Bacterial RNase P class A". It matches the Rfam family "Bacterial RNase P class A". Rfam says of the family: Ribonuclease P (RNase P) is a ubiquitous endoribonuclease, found in archaea, bacteria and eukarya as well as chloroplasts and mitochondria. Its best characterised activity is the generation of mature 5'-ends of tRNAs by cleaving the 5'-leader elements of precursor-tRNAs. The record is from Rfam by way of RNAcentral. Lineage: Bacteria; Pseudomonadati; Pseudomonadota; Betaproteobacteria; Burkholderiales; Comamonadaceae.
GAAGCGCGCCGGACCGCCGCUGGUGCAUGUCCCGAAAGGGCGCACUGGAGGAAAGUCCGGACUGCACAGGACAGCGCAGGAGCUAACGGCUCUCCACCGCGAGGUGAGGAUCAGAGCAACAGAGACGAGUCGGCCGGGGCGACCCGGCCGGGUGAAACGGGCAAUCUCUGCGCGCAGCAACACCAAGUAGGCCAGCAUUGAUGCGGUUCGCAGAGCUGGCGGGUAGGUGGCAUCGAGCCGUUCCGGUGACGGGCGGCCCAGAGUAAUGGCGGUCACGCCGGGGGCGACCCCGGUGCACAGAAUCCGGCUUACAGGCGCGCUUCACAC